Long non-coding RNA from Micropterus salmoides (largemouth bass), 3458 nucleotides. RefSeq lists it as uncharacterized. NCBI's taxonomy places the organism in Eukaryota, Metazoa, Chordata, Actinopteri, Centrarchiformes, Centrarchidae. The transcript has 2 exons. The record is from RefSeq and is a predicted model, not a curated record.
UGAGCUGUCUUGUUUGUUUUUUCCUGGUGUGAAGCCUUUAGAGGACAUUAACCUUUAGCGUUACCUCUCCCGGUAGGAAUAAGCAACAUUGUCUCCCUUGGGGGACUUGUUGGUUUGUUGUUUUAAAUUUUUGUGCAUCAACGCGAUCUGAAAUUUUGCCUGUCUUGGGUACACGUCCAUGACUGUCUAGUGCACGGUGAGGUGACUAUGGGAGUCCAGCCUGCUUUACCCAUGCAAGGAGUGUCAUUUUGUGGAAUGACCUGGCUGGUGGGAGAGUAUGGCCUGAGGUACCUCCUUCACUAGUGGUUUCAUCCAUACCAGUGGUAAGUAAAAUUGCAGAACUUGAGGGGAACUUAACUGAUGUACUUCUGGCCUGUGCAGUAACCUGUGCUCAGACCUGUAAAGCACAGGAGGUUAAAGUUAAUUUGGAGGAUGCAGCUGUUUCAUUGGCUGUUCUUCCAUCUGUUUCUCACUGCAACAAGAUCCCUCCUUACAGGAACUCCUGUCUCAGGUUCACCCGGCAAGUGAAAUGACCAGUGCAGCACAUGGGUAUUUCCUACAAGAGUGGGUGUUGGUAAGAAAAUGUUGCCUCAAGGUGAAAGUUUUGCUGGAGAGGCAAUAUUUCAAAUUGUGAUACCACACAAGCUGAGAGAAGGUGUGCUGCAAACAGCACUUGAAGUCUAAGGGUGGAAGUUUGUAUCUGUUGACAGUGAUGUCAGUCCACACGGUCCUGAUGCAUAUCCUUUGGCUAAAUCUGUGGUUAAGGCUUUGAGUCAGUUUAUUUCUAUCUUUGGCAUUCCUAAAGUUAUUCAGACUGACCAGGGCACAAAUUUCCCUUCACAGAUAUUUGAGAUUUUGAAUCAACUCCAUGUGAAACAUGCGACCUCUAGUGCUUACCAUCCACAGAGCCAGGGGACUCUUGACAGGUUUCAUCAAACCCUGAAAUCUUCGAUCCUACUGCACUGAGUUGAACCAUGACUGGCAAGGUUUACCUUGGCAGUUGUUGGCUGCCAGGGAAGUUGUCCAAUCCAGUACUGGUUUCAGUCAAAAUGAUCUAGUUUUUGGACACAAUGUCCGAGGCCCACUGGCAGUACUACAGGGGGAUUGGGAACUACCUGAUUCCCCCUAUACCCCUGUUGGGUUAUGUAAAUGGUUUCAAGUGACGGCUCUUUGAAGCGUGUAGAAUGGCCAGAACAAAAUUUGAGUCUUCUCAGAAGAAAAUGGAACGGUUAUGACAGACGACCAGAAUUUUUUUUUUUUGCCCUGGUGACCAAGUGUUAGCCCAGUUGCCUUUGGUUUCAUCCCCUUUUCAGGCCAAAUUUGUGGGGCCCUAUUAUGUGCUACAGAAAGUGUCAGAUCAGAACUAUGUAUUAUCUACCCCAGAUAGAAGGAUGGCUACCCAAAUGUGUCAUGUAAACCUGUUAAUGCCUUACUUUUCUUGUGCUGCUUCAGGAACUGGAUUCAGGGUGCAAGCGGUCACUAUGGCAGUUCCUCGUGGCGCAGCCAGCUCUAAUCUUCCAGAAGCCAAACUUGAUGAACUUGAGGUCACUGACUGUAUGACGCAAGGUCGGUUGAAAAAGUGUCUGGGUAAACUUGACAUUGAGCUGCACCUAUAAAACAGAACUUCUCUUGAGAAACGUGAGCAGUUAGAGUCAGAGGUUAAAUACAUGCUAGAGAAUGGCAUUGCAGUACCCUCACGUUCUAGCUGGGCCUCACCAUGUCUGUUAGUCAGUAAGCCAGACAGGACUUUUAGAUCUUGUACUUACUUCUGUAAAGUGAAUGCCAUAACCAAGCCAGACAGUUUUCCCCUUCCUCGGAUGGAGGUUUGCAUGGAUCAAGUUGGUUCAGCUAAGCUGAAUAAAUUUGAUCUCAAAGGUUACUGGCAAGUCCCACUGACACCACGGGCUCAGGAAAUUGCAUCCUUCAUUACACCUACAGGGUUGUACUCUUACACAGUCACGCCAUUUGGGUUGAGAAAUGCACCUGCCACCUUCUAACGUUUAAUAAACCGGGUAGUUUCUGGUUUACAGAGGUGUGCCGUCUAUCUAGAUGAUGUGGUGGUAUAUAGCGACACAUGGCCAGAACAUUUGCAGAAUAUUCAGGCCCUGUUUGAUCGCCUGGCCUGGGCUAACCUCACUGUGAAUUUGGCAAAGUGAGUUUGCCAAGGCCACAGUGACAUAUCUGGGUAAGGUGGUUGGGCAGGGUGAAGUGCGACCUGAAAUGGCAAAAGUUAUGGCCAUUGAGAAGUUUCCUCCUCCCAGUACAAAGAAAGAGCUCACCCGAUUUCUUGGGAUGGUAGGUUAUUACCAAGGAUUCUGUGAAAAUAUCUCGGAAGUAGUUGCUCCUUUGACUGACCUCGUGAGUCCGAAAGUCAAGUUUCAUUGGUCAGACCGUUGUCAGAAAGCUUUUGAUUAUGUUAAAGCUCUCCUUUCUUGUGCUCCAGUGCUUGCAGCCCCAAAUCUAAAGGAACAGUUUCACAUCAAAGUGGAUGCCAGCAAUAUUGGUGCCGGGGCUGUGUUGCUGCAAACAGAUGCAUCUGGUAUUGAGAGGCCAGUUAUUUCUCGCGCAAGUUUAACUCCUACCACUUGAACUCCUACCAGUUGAACUACUCAGUUGUAGAGAAGGAGGCACUUGCGUUGAUUUGGGCUCUACAGCACUUUGAAAUGUACAUAGGUAAUGGGUGUAGGCCUCUAGUUGUGUACACGGAUCGCAAUCCUCUCACCUUCCUACAUUCGUUACAGAAUCCAAACCAGCGUUUGUUGAGAUGGUGUCUGUUCUCACAGCCUUUCCAUCUUGAUGUUCAGCACAUUAAAGGUUCUGAAAAUGUUAUGGCUGAUGCAUUGUCUAGAUCAUUAAUAUAAAAUGGUUAUGUUCCUCUUCUCAUCUGUUUCCAGUGUUCUUCUCCUAUCUCUUAAAUUGCUUCUAAGGUACCAAGUUGCUGAGUGGGAGUUGGUAAACAGGACUUAUGCGGAUAAGGUAAUUGUAACAUCCAGAGACGCCAUUUUUCAGGUGAUCUAUCCUGAAAAUUUUAUGUUGUAACUUUAAGAUUUGAAUGUAAUUACCACUCCAUAAAAACCUUUUUUUUUUAGGGGGUGGGGGUGGGGGUGGGGGGGUGAAAACCCUGGGGUUGUCUGUUGUGUUGUGCUGUUUUGGUGUUUGAGUUCCAGGCUGUUUAUGGGCGGAGCCAAGGCCAGGGUCGUCAGGAGAUGUGGCUCACCUGUUCAGCCUGGUUGAGAUGUAUUUAAGAUGGCUGCCAACUCUGCCUGCUCUUUUGAUUCCCACGGCACCAUGCACCACCCCUGGGACACGCCAGCUCUUCAGUUUUGAUUAAUUUAGCUUUUCUUUUUGCACUCACUACAUUUUACACUCACCCAUACACUCAUGACACUCCUGAUAAUACUGAUUUUCACAUUUGCCUUGAAGUUUGUCUAGUUGGUACAAUAAAACCAUUAAGCUUA